RNAcentral lists this non-coding RNA (28 nucleotides) under Mus musculus (house mouse). The record is from RNAcentral. Lineage: Eukaryota; Metazoa; Chordata; Mammalia; Rodentia; Muridae.
UAUAUGACAGCCAUGAGCUUGGGGCGGG